AAGUUCAGGUGGAUGAUGCCUGGCUCGAGACCAUUCCAUCUCAUGACGCUGAUGAUGAUGUCGGACCAGGCUUCAUUCCCCUCAACUU
RNAcentral lists this microRNA precursor (88 nucleotides) under Camelina sativa (false flax). Its description in RNAcentral is "miR166d stem-loop (cas-MIR166d)". Its record names the gene cas-MIR166d. It matches the Rfam family "mir-166 microRNA precursor family". From Rfam's summary of the family: This family represents the plant microRNA (miRNA) precursor mir-166. Animal miRNAs are transcribed as ~70nt precursors and subsequently processed by the Dicer enzyme to give a ~22nt product. In plants the precursor sequences may be longer, and the carpel factory (caf) enzyme appears to be involved in processing. The record is from miRBase by way of RNAcentral. Lineage: Eukaryota; Viridiplantae; Streptophyta; Magnoliopsida; Brassicales; Brassicaceae.